Molecule: ribosomal RNA, 497 nt
Filed under: uncultured bacterium
Lineage: Bacteria
Description: partial 16S ribosomal RNA
Rfam family: Bacterial small subunit ribosomal RNA
Source: RNAcentral
GAUGAACGCUGGCGGCGUGCCUAAUACAUGCAAGUCGAGCGAACGGACGAGAAGCUUGCUUUUCUGAUGUUAGCGGCGGACGGGUGAGUAACACGUGGAUAACCUACCUAUAAGACUGGGAUAACUUCGGGAAACCGGAGCUAAUACCGGAUAAUAUUUUGAACCGCAUGGUUCAAAAGUGAAAGACGGUCUUGCUGUCACUUAUAGAUGGAUCCGCGCUGCAUUAGCUAGUUGGUAAGGUAACGGCUUACCAAGGCAACGAUGCAUAGCCGACCUGAGAGGGUGAUCGGCCACACUGGAACUGAGACACGGUCCAGACUCCUACGGGAGGCAGCAGUAGGGAAUCUUCCGCAAUGGGCGAAAGCCUGACGGAGCAACGCCGCGUGAGUGAUGAAGGUCUUCGGAUCGUAAAACUCUGUUAUUAGGGAAGAACAUAUGUGUAAGUAACUGUGCACAUCUUGACGGUACCCAAUCAGAAAGCAACGGCUAACUACGUG